Molecule: ribosomal RNA, 496 nt
Filed under: uncultured bacterium
Lineage: Bacteria
Description: partial 16S ribosomal RNA
Rfam family: Bacterial small subunit ribosomal RNA
Source: RNAcentral
GAUGAACGCUGGCGGCGUGCCUAAUACAUGCAAGUCGAGCGAACAGACGAGGAGCUUGCUCCUCUGACGUUAGCGGCGGACGGGUGAGUAACACGUGGAUAACCUACCUAUAAGACUGGGAUAACUUCGGGAAACCGGAGCUAAUACCGGAUAAUAUAUUGAACCGCAUGGUUCAAUAGUGAAAGACGGUUUUGCUGUCACUUAUAGAUGGAUCCGCGCCGCAUUAGCUAGUUGGUAAGGUAACGGCUUACCAAGGCAACGAUGCGUAGCCGACCUGAGAGGGUGAUCGGCCACACUGGAACUGAGACACGGUCCAGAAUCCUACGGGAGGCAGCAGUAGGGAAUCUUCCGCAAUGGGCGAAAGCCUGACGGAGCAACGCCGCGUGAGUGAUGAAGGUCUUCGGAUCGUAAAACUCUGUUAUUAGGGAAGAACAAAUGUGUAAGUAACGAUGCACGUCUUGACGGUACCUAAUCAGAAAGCCACGGCUAACUACGU